Molecule: ribosomal RNA, 638 nt
Filed under: Neofusicoccum mediterraneum
Lineage: Eukaryota; Fungi; Ascomycota; Dothideomycetes; Botryosphaeriales; Botryosphaeriaceae
Description: eukaryotic LSU rRNA
Rfam family: Eukaryotic large subunit ribosomal RNA
Source: RNAcentral
GUUGACCUCGGAUCAGGUAGGGAUACCCGCUGAACUUAAGCAUAUCAAUAAGCGGAGGAAAAGAAACCAACAGGGAUUGCCUUAGUAACGGCGAGUGAAGCGGCAAUAGCUCAAAUUUGAAAGCUGGCCCCUUCGGGGUCCGCGUUGUAAUUUGUAGAGGAUGAUUCGGCGAGGGCUCCCGUCUAAGUCCCUUGGAACAGGGCGUCAUAGAGGGUGAGAAUCCCGUAUGUGAUGGGCUGCCUUAGCCAUGUGAAUCUCCUUCGACGAGUCGAGUUGUUUGGGAAUGCAGCUCUAAAUGGGAGGUAAAUUUCUUCUAAAGCUAAAUACCGGCCAGAGACCGAUAGCGCACAAGUAGAGUGAUCGAAAGAUGAAAAGCACUUUGGAAAGAGAGUUAAAAAGUACGUGAAAUUGUUGAAAGGGAAGCGCUUGCAGCCAGACUUGUCCGCAGUUGCUCAGCCCGUCUCCUGACGGGCGUACUCUUCUGCGGCCAGGCCAGCAUCAAUUCCGGGCGGUCGGAUAAAGACCCGGGGGAACGUAGCUCCUCUCCGGGGAAUGGUUAUAGCCCCCUGGGGGGAAAUCGGGGCCAACCUGGGACCGUGAGGAAACACUGCCCCUUCCGCUAAGGAAGGCUGGCCCAA